This 163-nucleotide ribosomal RNA is filed under the name uncultured bacterium. RNAcentral describes it as "partial 16S rRNA". It matches the Rfam family "Bacterial small subunit ribosomal RNA", at positions 355 to 511 of the family's 1533-position model. The record is from RNAcentral.
UGGGGAAUAUUGCACAAUGGGCGCAAGCCUGAUGCAGCCAUGCCGCGUGUGUGAAGAAGGCCUUGGGUUGUAAAGCACUUUCAGCGGGGAGGAAGGCGUUAAGGUUAAUAACCUUGGCGAUUGACGUUACCCGCAGAAGAAGCACCGGCUAACUCCGUGCCAG